Molecule: ribosomal RNA, 262 nt
Filed under: uncultured archaeon
Lineage: Archaea
Description: partial 16S ribosomal RNA
Rfam family: Archaeal small subunit ribosomal RNA
Source: RNAcentral
ACGUCUACAUUAGAUACCCGGGUAGUCCCAGCCGUAAACUAUGCGCGUUAGGUGUAUCGGUGACCACGAGUCACCGAGGUGCCGAAGGGAAACCGUGAAACGUGCCGCCUGGGAAGUACGGUCGCAAGGCUGAAACUUAAAGGAAUUGGCGGGGAGCACCACAACGGGUGGAGCCUGCGGUUUAAUUGGACUCAACGCCGGGAAGCUCACCGGAUAAGACAGCGGAAUGAUUGCCGGGCUGAAGACUCUGCAUGACUAGCUG